This 505-nucleotide ribosomal RNA is filed under the name uncultured bacterium. RNAcentral's name for it is "bacterial SSU rRNA". It matches the Rfam family "Bacterial small subunit ribosomal RNA", at positions 30 to 527 of the family's 1533-position model. The record is from RNAcentral.
AUUGAACGCUGGCGGCAUGCCUUACACAUGCAAGUCGAACGGUAACGCGGGGCAACCUGGCGACGAGUGGCGAACGGGUGAGUAAUGCAUCGGAACGUGCCCAGUAGUGGGGGAUAGCCCGGCGAAAGCCGGAUUAAUACCGCAUACGACCUAUGGGUGAAAGGGGGGGAUCGCAAGACCUCUCGCUAUUGGAGCGGCCGAUGUCAGAUUAGCUAGUUGGUGGGGUAAAGGCCCACCAAGGCGACGAUCUGUAGCUGGUCUGAGAGGACGACCAGCCACACUGGGACUGAGACACGGCCCAGACUCCUACGGGAGGCAGCAGUGGGGAAUUUUGGACAAUGGACGCAAGUCUGAUCCAGCCAUGCCGCGUGCGGGAAGAAGGCCUUCGGGUUGUAAACCGCUUUUGUCAGGGAAGAAAUCUUCUGGGUUAAUACCUCGGGAGGAUGACGGUACCUGAAGAAUAAGCACCGGCUAACUACGUGCCAGCAGCCGCGGUAAUAGUACU